AUCCUUUUCCCUGGAACCAAGUGCUUGGUUGGGAGACCAUGCCCUCCCCUUCCUUCCUCGGAACUCCUCCCUGAUCGCCCCGUGGCUUCCCCAGGAGAGAUGCGAAAUCAGCGGUAGCAGGUGGCGCAGAAGGGAGAGGGGAGCGACCCUGGGGACCGACUCUGGGGACCCUCGCCGAAGAGGAGUGGCUGUAAGGUGAAGAAGCAUGAAACUCAGUCUCUCGCCCUGGAUGCAUGUUCUCGGGAUGAAGGGGCAGUGAUCUCCCAGAUUUCAGACAUUUCUAAUAGGGAUGGCCAUGCUACUGAUGAGGAGAAACUGGCAUCCACGUCAUGUGGUCAGAAAUCAGCUGGUGCCGAGGUGAAAGGUGAGCCAGAGGAAGACCUGGAGUACUUUGAAUGUUCCAAUGUUCCUGUGUCUACCAUAAAUCAUGCGUUUUCAUCCUCAGAAGCAGGCAUAGAGAAGGAGACGUGCCAGAAGAUGGAAGAAGACGGGUCCACUGUGCUU
RNAcentral lists this long non-coding RNA (504 nucleotides) under Homo sapiens (human). RNAcentral describes it as "long non-coding RNA NONHSAT215703.1". The record is from RNAcentral. Lineage: Eukaryota; Metazoa; Chordata; Mammalia; Primates; Hominidae.